GCCGAGGUGGCGGAAUUGGCAGACGCGUAUGACUCAGAAUCAUAUGGACUUAUGUCCAUGCGGGUUCAAGUCCCGUCCUCGGCACCA
This 87-nucleotide transfer RNA is filed under the name Marinitoga aeolica. Its description in RNAcentral is "Marinitoga sp. BP5-C20A tRNA-Leu". It matches the Rfam family "tRNA". Rfam says of the family: Transfer RNA (tRNA) molecules are approximately 80 nucleotides in length. Their secondary structure includes four short double-helical elements and three loops (D, anti-codon, and T loops). Further hydrogen bonds mediate the characteristic L-shaped molecular structure. tRNAs have two regions of fundamental functional importance: the anti-codon, which is responsible for specific mRNA codon recognition, and the 3' end, to which the tRNAs corresponding amino acid is attached (by aminoacyl-tRNA synthetases). tRNAs cope with the degeneracy of the genetic code in two manners: having more than one tRNA (with a specific anti-codon) for a particular amino acid; and 'wobble' base-pairing, i.e. permitting non-standard base-pairing at the 3rd anti-codon position. The record is from RNAcentral. Lineage: Bacteria; Thermotogati; Thermotogota; Thermotogae; Petrotogales; Petrotogaceae.